This 397-nucleotide ribosomal RNA is filed under the name uncultured bacterium. RNAcentral describes it as "bacterial SSU rRNA". It matches the Rfam family "Bacterial small subunit ribosomal RNA", at positions 30 to 407 of the family's 1533-position model. The record is from RNAcentral.
AUUGAACGCUGGCGGCAGGCCUAACACAUGCAAGUCGAGCGGUAACAGAACUAGCUUGCUAGUUGCUGACGAGCGGCGGACGGGUGCGUAACACGUAGGAAUCUGCCCGGUGUGGGGAUAGCCCGGAGAAAUCCGGAUUAAUACCGCAUACGUCCUACUCUUUUUCGGAAGAGGGGGGAAAGCAGGGGAAUCUUCGGAUCCUUGCGCUAUCGGAUGAGCCUGCGUCGGAUUAGCUAGUUGGUAGGGUAAAGGCCUACCAAGGCAACGAUCCGUAGCUGGUCUGAGAGGAUGAUCAGCCACACUGGGACUGAGACACGGCCCAGACUCCUACGGGAGGCAGCAGUGGGGAAUAUUGCACAAUGGGCGGCAAGCCUGAUGCAGCCAUGCCGCGUGUGUG